UUUUAUCAAGUAUGGAAAUAAACCAGAUAUUAUAUUGGAAGUGUUUUUACCAUUUAGAUAUACUACUGUUGAUAUUGGUAAAACUUUGUUUAUAAAGCCGUACAUAUUUUUGGCGCAGAACAAUAAUUUUUAUAAUACCAAAUGGGAAUGCAUACUUGAAGACCAGAUAUGGAUAUAUGGUUGCCAGGGACAAAUAAAUGAGGAAUUUUAUAUGGAAACGGGGUUUCUAAAAGCAGGAAACUAUACAAUCAUCUUAACAGUAACGGCAGAAAAUAUAGAAAAAACUGUAAUCGCAAAUAUUUUGGUAAAACCUAGGACGCCAUCUAUUAUAUUCGAUAUAGCAUAUCCGAUAGUGCCGGAAAGAGGUAUUGACAUAAAGGCAGAUAUUAGUGAACUCAAGACAUAUUGUACAGUUCAAUGGUUGGAUGUUAAAAGUAAUGAUCUAAAACUAAAGGAUAUUCCUGGGGUAAAUACUAAAGAAAUAAACAUUUCAUCCAAAGAUCAGUACUUUCUGCAAGAAUUGGUAGACUUUGGUAAUAUUAAAGUAACACGACGUUUUAACCUGAAGAUCCCACCAAUAUCGAAAACCUGGAAUGGCCUAACUGAUGACUCAGUUUACAAAAUAAAGAUUAUAGCCACUUGUCCAAAUGUAAAAGAAGUAAAUAGGGAAGAUAUAUUUGAAAGGGAUCUCAAAUCUGAGAAUGCUUUGAUAUCUUUAGGGGAAGUAGAGAUAUAUGUACUUCCAUUGCCGAAA
This is a long non-coding RNA of Anthonomus grandis grandis, 754 nucleotides long. RefSeq lists it as uncharacterized. Lineage: Eukaryota; Metazoa; Arthropoda; Insecta; Coleoptera; Curculionidae. The transcript is spliced from 4 exons. The record is from RefSeq and is a predicted model, not a curated record.